Habropoda laboriosa is the source of this 1318-nucleotide long non-coding RNA. RefSeq lists it as uncharacterized. The record is from RefSeq and is a predicted model, not a curated record. NCBI's taxonomy places the organism in Eukaryota, Metazoa, Arthropoda, Insecta, Hymenoptera, Apidae. The transcript has 3 exons.
AUCUAUGGUUGUGUCGGUGGAUUUCGUGACGUUAACCUGGCGGCCCUGAAAACGUUGGACUGACCGUACGUUUUCGACUACCCUUCGUUGGGGCGCGAAUGUAAAACGCGAGUGUUUUUUAAUCAUCGCGGUCGCCGCUUAGGAAUAUCACGGACUAGUUCGGGAACACUGCCGGGCUAUUGUCGUUGCUGCCAUUGUCACCUCACUAAUAGAGAUACAAGAACGAAGUAACGCCCAACGAUGAAAUAUAUUCCGAUACCUACUACACGGAAUAACUCAUGUAAUCGCUGAAAACUAUGGUUGAACAGUAAGGAGAGGAAGAUACACAACUACCAAUUCCUCUACGACACGAAAGCUUUUUUUUUUACCAGAGAAGACGGACGGAAACGAAACACAGAAAACACACGCAAAACAAGAAGAAGAAGAAUAGUGCCGGAAAUGGUGGUGGUAAAAAGAAAAUUGAAUGGCAUAAAUUUUCAGAAGAAGAAAAGAACAUUGAUUCGAUUAUCUUUCGCGCAAUAGCCAGCCUGCCGUCGUCGUCGUCGAGUCUCGUGAAGAAGGUUGUGUAAGUGCGGCCGCCAGCUCUUGUGUAUACGUGUGUUUGUGUUUCUCGUCCUGCCAUCUUGAAAGUCAUCCUAUUUCUUACUGGUGGCGGCGCUGGUUCACGUGUUCGGGAAGCGUGCACAGUGCGUGUGUCUUGCACGCACUGUGCUCUAGUCAGGCAAGCAACGAGCGAAGAAACCUUGCUUUCGGUGAAACUACGCGAUAUAACGGUUCAUCGACGACGACACAAUAGGACCGCGAUGAAAGCAAGUUUGUCGAUAACUUUACAUCAUAGUGGGAGUGAUAACGAGUGUCGUAGCAGUAGUAGAAGUAACGGCAGCAACAGUAUACACGUCACUAGUACCGGUAACAAGAGUGGAAAUGACAAUGGUUUUAACUCCAACGAAAGAUCGCGUGUGGAAUAUAGUGUGCAGGUUGAGCAUGAGCCACGUGGCAGUGAUGAGAUUUUCAAGCAAUUGUGUUUUUACGUGGUAUACCCGCACUGAUUGUGAGUGCUAGUAGAUAAAGAGAAAGCGGGAGACAGAGAGAUAGAAGCCAGCAAGACUCUCGUGGAGAGCAGCGGGGCACUGAAAGAUAUGUGGACCUUUGUGCGAACAGCUGUACCGGAAGUUGUGAGAACAAGUGGAGUGCAACGUGCUCCGCCUAAUCGGUGAUAGGAAAACGUCGCUGGAGCAACAGCGCAAGAAAGAAAUUUCAAACGUCGGUUAAGUUGUGUUGCGAGUGUACGAUAAUCGAAUUGUGUAGAAUUCAUGAA